Molecule: long non-coding RNA, 255 nt
Filed under: Drosophila guanche
Lineage: Eukaryota; Metazoa; Arthropoda; Insecta; Diptera; Drosophilidae
Source: RNAcentral
UUUAAAUCCAUUUUUACCAAUCAAAAACUUUGCGACACAUUGUCAAUGCUCCGUUUUACGUAUCUAAUGCAAACAUCCACAAAGAUCUGAAUAUUCCAACCAUUAAAGAAGAAAUAAAGAAAACUAGUAAUAAAUACAUCGACAGACUCCACAACCACGAAAAUAAUUUAGCCUUAAGUCUAUUAGACAAUAGCCUAACAGUAAGAAGACUGAAAAGAUACCACAUUCUCGAUAUCCCUGAUAGUUAAAUCCAAC